AUACGGAGGAUGCGAGCGUUAUCCGGAUUUAUUGGGUUUAAAGGGUGCGUAGGCUGUGCGUUAAGUCAGGGGUGAAAUGCCGUCGCUCAACGACGGAGCUGCCCUUGAUACUGGCGUGCUGGAGUACGGAUGCCGUUGGAGGAAUGAGUGGUGUAGCGGUGAAAUGCUUAGAUAUCACUCAGAACACCGAUUGCGAAGGCAUCUGACGAAUCCGUCACUGACGCUGAGGCACGAAAGCGUGGGGAUAGAACAGGAUUAGAUACCCUGGUAUUCCACGCCGUAAACGAUGAUGACUAACCGUCGGCGAUAGACAGCCGGUGGCCAAGCGAAAGCGAGAAGUCAUCCACCUGGGGAGUACGUCGGCAACGAUGAAACUCAAAGGAAUUGACGGGG
Molecule: ribosomal RNA, 393 nt
Filed under: uncultured bacterium
Lineage: Bacteria
Description: partial 16S ribosomal RNA
Rfam family: Bacterial small subunit ribosomal RNA
Source: RNAcentral